Molecule: long non-coding RNA, 1339 nt
Organism: Selaginella moellendorffii
Lineage: Eukaryota; Viridiplantae; Streptophyta; Lycopodiopsida; Selaginellales; Selaginellaceae
Exons: 5
Source: RefSeq, a predicted model, not a curated record
UCCUUGCUGUGGCGCGAGAUCGGGGCUUAGCGGCUUCUUGGGGCACCGAUCGAGCGGGGGGAGAUGGGACGGCGCGGCGGGCAUCGAUCCAAUGCCCUAGUCGCGGUAAUAGUGGAUGCAUUCCACGGUAUUGUGAUCGGGGUUGUUGCCUUGCACGGUGGAGUGUGGCGAUGUGGUGUAUCGGAGCACUCUGCCCAAAUUCGAUAGGAAACAGGCUCAGGCCUUCUUAGACGAAGGAUGACUUUGUCCUGGAGAAGAACAUUGGAGAAGGAGCGUUUGGAUCCAUCCGUCUACAAAGGAUCGUUUGCGAAAUCCUCAAAAGAAGUCGUUUCCAGUGGUGGUGAAGAAGGCUGAGCAGUGGAGGCUUGGAUGAACCAGCGCGUGCGACGAGCAUGCCCGGGAAAAUGUGCUGACGGACUGUGUGUGUGUGUGUGGCGUUUCAUAUAUCUUUGGUUCUAGAGAGUCGAUCCGAAGGAGGAGUGUCCGUCGCGAUUUGAGAUUUUCUGCAUGAAACCGAAAACUCACUAACAUUGUAAGGAAAAUCCUCGAGAGGCGCCACACCUUCGUAACGCCACACAAGCCAAACAGGUUGAGAAGGCGUUGAGCUUGAAGACUACACAGCUUGCCAAAGGUUGCGAGCGAGAAAACCAGAUCGAGUGUUUGAGGGAGACUGGAUUGUUCAUUAAAACCUCAUCUUUCCCACGAGUCGAAGUCCUUCAAGAUUAUUGAUCUCGGUCGGUGAGGACUUUCCGCAAGAGUUCCUACUGGAUCCAAGGUACGCUGCACCAGAGCUGUACGUUAUGAGCACUCAGACUCCUGCAACAGCACUCUCUCCAGUUCUAUGGCAGGCAUAUACCAGUCAAUAUUUCUGUGACAAAUCACGAACUUUGAUCCUUACAGCUAAACCUGCCAGACCACUAUAGCCUCGGAUUGAUGUUCUUGCAAAUGGUAAGUCCAGCUGAUACAUCUAUCAAUGGCAGGUGUUUUCGAAAUUGAGAAGCGAUAGUGCUCUCAUCCAGUUCAAUGAAGCGCAUGAAUCGUGGAGAAGCUUGGUGGAGGCUCGGCGAAAUCCGGGCGUUCAACGUGGCUUGGAGAUUCUGGACGGAGGAGCUGCUCCAAGCGAUGAUGCUGUUUAAAGGUCGUCAACGUAUCAGUGCCUGGCCUGUCCCACAAUGUCCUCGGGCACCAGCGACCACAGCUACCAUCGGGUUGUUCCUGUCGAGACGGAAGUAGCGCACUUCUAGUUACUUAGACAAGGAUUCAAUUCAAUGUGCAUUCUUUCCUUUCUUUUCUGCCCGGGCUCUGACUGGGAUCGUAGAAAUGAGGAGCUCUUGCCGGA